GGCAAAGGGCCUCUGAGGGAGUAUUACAGCCGCCUCAUCCACCAGAAGCAUUUCCAGCACAUCCAGGUCUGCACCCCCUGGCUGGAGGGCCGAGGACUACCCCCGCUUCUAGGUUAGUGGACCUGGGUGUCUCUCUGGACACAUCCUCCAGUGGCCUGGACCUGCCCAUGAAGGUGGUGGACAUGUUCAGGUGCUGUUUGCCUGCGUGUGCCGUGAACUUCAAGUGGCAUGAGCUGGUGAAACAUAAAGAAAAUGGCCUGGUCUUUGAGGACUCAGAGGAACUGGCAGCUCAGCUGCAUGCUUUUCUCAAACUCUCCUGAUCCUGCAGGCAAGCUAAACCAGUUCCAGAAGAACCUGCGGGAGUCGCAGCAGCUCUGAUGGGAUGAGAGCUGGGUGCAGACUAUGCUCCCUUUGGUUAUGGACA
RNAcentral lists this long non-coding RNA (424 nucleotides) under Homo sapiens (human). RNAcentral describes it as "non-protein coding lnc-ZNF705A-4:1". Lineage: Eukaryota; Metazoa; Chordata; Mammalia; Primates; Hominidae. The record is from RNAcentral.